AGCCACAGCCAUGUCACCCUGCAGCCCAAGACCAGAUACUCACUGAAGCUAAUCAGGGCUGAGCCUGGUCAGUACCCGGAUGGGAGACCACUAGGGAACACUAGGUUGCUGUUGGAA
RNAcentral lists this ribosomal RNA (117 nucleotides) under Danio rerio (zebrafish). The record is from RNAcentral. Lineage: Eukaryota; Metazoa; Chordata; Actinopteri; Cypriniformes; Danionidae.